CUUGAAACACCGCUUCCCGUUCGAUCACCGAAAUUAAGCAACGUCGACGUUGGUCAGUACCUAGAUAAGUGACCGCUUGGAAAUACCAGAUGCUGUAAG
Non-coding RNA from Acanthosepion pharaonis, 99 nucleotides. The record is from the annotation of a GenBank genome assembly. Lineage: Eukaryota; Metazoa; Mollusca; Cephalopoda; Sepiida; Sepiidae.